AUUGAACGCUGGCGGCAUGCCUUACUUUUUGCAAGUCGAACGGCAGCACGGAGCUUGCUCUGGUGGCGAGUGGCGAACGGGUGAGUAAUAUAUCGGAACGUACCCUAGAGUGGGGGAUAACGUAGCGAAAGUUACGCUAAUACCGCAUACGAUCUAAGGAUGAAAGUGGGGGAUCGCAAGACCUCAUGCUCGUGGAGCGGCCGAUAUCUGAUUAGCUAGUUGGUAGGGUAAAAGCCUACCAAGGCAUCGAUCAGUAGCUGGUCUGAGAGGACGACCAGCCACACUGGAACUGAGACACGGUCCAGACUCCUACGGGAGGCAGCAGUGGGGAAUUUUGGACAAUGGGCGAAAGCCUGAUCCAGCAAUGCCGCGUGAGUGAAGAAGGCCUUCGGGUUGUAAAGCUCUUUUGUCAGGGAAGAAACGGUGAGAGCUAAUAUCUCUUGCUAAUGACGGUACCUGAAGAAUAAGCACCGGCUAACUACGUGCCAGCAGCCGCGGUAAUACGUAGGGUGCAAGCGUUAAUCGGAAUUACUGGGCGUAAAGCGUGCGCAGGCGGUUUUGUAAGUCUGAUGUGAAAUCCCCGGGCUCAACCUGGGAAUUGCAUUGGAGACUGCAAGGCUAGAAUUCUGGCUAAGGGGGGGUAAAAUUCUCCGUGUAUCUAUGAAUUGCGUAAAUUAGGGGGAGGAACUCCGAUGGGGAAAGGCCGCUCCCCGGCGUCAAGAUUGACCCUCAUGCCCGAAAAGCGUGGGGAGCAAACAGGAUUAGAUACCCUGGUAGUCCACGCCCUAAACGAUGUAUACUAGUUGUCGGGUCUUAAUUGACUUGGUAACGCAGCUAACGCGAGAAGUAGACCGCCUGGGGAGUACGGUCGCAAGAUUAAAACUCAAAGGAAAUGACGGGGACCCGCACAAGCGGUGGAUGAUGUGGAUUAAUUCGAUGCAACGCGAAAAACCUUACCUACCCUUGACAAGGCUGGAAUCCUUGAGAGAUCAGGGAGUGCUCGAAAGAGAGCCAGUACACAGGUGCUGCAAGGCUGUCGUCAGCUCGUGUCGUGAGAUGUUGGGUUAAGUCCCGCAACGAGCGCAACCCUUGUCAUUAGUUGCUACGAAAGGGCACUAUAAUGAGACUGCCGGUGACAAACCGGAGGAAGGUGGGGAUGACGUCAAGUCCUCAUGGCCCUUAUGGGUAGGGCUUCACACGUCAUACAAUGGUACAUACAGAGCGCCGCCAACCCGCGAGGGGGAGCUAAUCGCAGAAAGUGUAUCGUAGUCCGGAUUGUAGUCUGCAACUCGACUGCAUGAAGUUGGAAUCGCUAGUAAUCGCGGAUCAGCAUGUCGCGGUGAAUACGUUAAAAGGUCU
This 1359-nucleotide ribosomal RNA is filed under the name uncultured bacterium. RNAcentral's name for it is "bacterial SSU rRNA". It matches the Rfam family "Bacterial small subunit ribosomal RNA", at positions 28 to 1381 of the family's 1533-position model. The record is from RNAcentral.